RNAcentral lists this ribosomal RNA (207 nucleotides) under uncultured bacterium. RNAcentral's name for it is "partial 16S ribosomal RNA". It matches the Rfam family "Bacterial small subunit ribosomal RNA", at positions 1286 to 1500 of the family's 1533-position model. The record is from RNAcentral.
UCUCAGUUCGGAUCGGAGUCUGCAACCCGACUCCGUGAAGCUGGAUUCGCUAGUAAUCGCGCAUCAGCCAUGGCGCGGUGAAUACGUUCCCGGGCCUUGUACACACCGCCCGUCAAGCCAUGGGAGCCGGGGGCGCCUGAAGUCCGGGACCGCGAGGACCGGCCUAGGGCGAAACUGGUAACUGGGGCUAAGUCGUAACAAGGUAUC